GCGCGGGUAGCUCAGCGGAUAGAGCGCCGGUUUCCGAGGCCGGAUGUCGGUGGUUUGAAUCCACCUUCGCGCACCA
This 76-nucleotide transfer RNA is filed under the name Hydrogenophaga aromaticivorans. RNAcentral's name for it is "tRNA-Arg". It matches the Rfam family "tRNA". From Rfam's summary of the family: Transfer RNA (tRNA) molecules are approximately 80 nucleotides in length. Their secondary structure includes four short double-helical elements and three loops (D, anti-codon, and T loops). Lineage: Bacteria; Pseudomonadati; Pseudomonadota; Betaproteobacteria; Burkholderiales; Comamonadaceae. The record is from RNAcentral.